RNAcentral lists this ribosomal RNA (1104 nucleotides) under Triticum aestivum (bread wheat). RNAcentral describes it as "partial small subunit ribosomal RNA". The record is from RNAcentral. Lineage: Eukaryota; Viridiplantae; Streptophyta; Magnoliopsida; Poales; Poaceae.
AUGCGGACGGUGGCUAGCCUCACCGACGACCUCCUCGUCGAGAUCCUCUCCCGUCUCCCCGUCAAGUCGCUCCGCCGCUGCAUGUGCGUCUCCAGGACCUGGCGGGGCAUCAUCUCGCACCCGCAUAACCGCAGGCAACUGCCCCAGACCCUCGAGGGUUUCUUCUACGUGCCCGAGAGCAAGCCGGUGCCAACUCCCAUUUUCACCAACGUCACCGGGACAGGCCGCCCUCUGGUCUCUCCUCUCUUUGGUUUACUGCCCCAGCACCAGAGCAUCUUCCUGCUGUCCUGCUGCAACGGUCUCCUCCUCUGCCGCUGCUGGGAAGGCCAGGACGACUUCCAUUACGUUGUGUGCAAUCCGGCGACCGGGGAGUGGGUCCGGUUGCCCGACUCUGUCAAUGCCGGCACCGAGUGCAUGGCACGUCUGGGUUUUGACCCUGCGGUGUCGGAUCACUUCCAUGUGUUUGAGUUCUCCGAGGAUCACGACAUCAGCCAGGCCGGAAUGGAGGUGUAUUCCUCUGAAACAGGGGAAUGGGUUCACAAGGAGAACGGAUGGAUCGAUACGGAAGAUGAUGAAGCAUUUGUUUCCCUUGUUGGUCAUCACUCGGGAGAUGUGUUUCUUAACGGCUGUCUGCAUUUUCUCACCAUGGAUGAUGAUAUAGCCGUGGUGGACACCAAGGGGAAAACAUGGAGGAAGAUACCUCUCCCUGAACUUGGCACUGUUGGUCUCAUUCAGAAGUCUCAGGGUUAUUUGCAUUUUGUCAAUUUUCUUGAAACUGAUGAUGGUAUGGUUCAACUGGUGGUUUAUGUUCUUGAGAACUACCGCAGUCAAGAAUGGAUAUUGAAGCAUAGCACUGACGCUUCAUGUAUAUUUGGAGAGAGAGAUAUUGAUCUUAUACAAGGCUUUCAGUGGGUUGCAAUGCAUCCAGACUGUAACAUGAUCUUCUUAACUGUGGGGUGGGAUAAUACUUUGGUCUCUUAUGAUAUGGAUCAUCACCAAGUUCAAGAGAUCUGCGAUCUUGGAGGAGACGACGACCCGCGAUAUCUGCCAUAUGUGCCAUUGUACUCAGAGUUACAAACUCUACACAUGCAACAUAAAAAUUGA